This 253-nucleotide ribosomal RNA is filed under the name uncultured bacterium. RNAcentral describes it as "partial 16S ribosomal RNA". It matches the Rfam family "Bacterial small subunit ribosomal RNA", at positions 524 to 776 of the family's 1533-position model. The record is from RNAcentral.
UACAUGGGGUGCAAACGUUGCUCGGAAUUACUGGGCGUAAAGCGCACGUAGGCGGCUUUGUAAGUUAGAGGUGAAAGCCCGGGGCUCAACUCCGGAAUUGCCUUUAAGACUGCAUCGCUAGAAUUGUGGAGAGGUAAGUGGAAUUCCGAGUGUAGAGGUGAAAUUCGUAGAUAUUCGGAAGAACACCAGUGGCGAAGGCGACUUACUGGACACAUAUUGACGCUGAGGUGCGAAAGCGUGGGGAGCAAACAGG